AGCAUAUAAGUAAGCGGAGGAUAAGAAACUAAAUAGGAUUCCCUAAGUAAUGGCGAAUGAACAGGGAAGAGCUCAGCAUGAAAAUCGGGGCCUAUGGCUUUGAAUUGUAGUCUUGAGACGUGCUGCCAGCGGAGGCGCAGAUGUAAGCCUCUUGGAAAAGAGCAUCAAUGAGGGUGAGAGUCCCGUUUGUCAUCUGCAGCCCUCCGUGUACGGUGCGCGUUCUGAGAGUCACGUUCCUCGGGAUUGGAGCGUAAAUUGGGUGGUAAAUUUCAUCUGAAGCUAAAUAUUGGUUCGAGACCGAUAGCAAACAAGUACCAUGAGGGAAAGGUGAAAAGGACUUUGAAAAGAGAGUUAAAAGUGCCUGAAAUUGCUGAAAGGGAAGCGAAUGGAACCAGCUUUGCUUGGCGAGAUUGUUGCUUGCUAUGGUGCCGGUGGGCUGAGGUAGCGCAAGCGCUUCGGCUUGCUCUUAUCCUGACGCAUGCAGUGGUUCUUGCCUUGUUUGUCAGCGCUGGUAUGCACCUGAUGAAAACCGCAGGGACAUGGUAGCUUGUCUCCGGAUGAGUGAAUAUCUCUGUUGGGAGUCACGUGUGUACUGGAUAUGGCGUGCCUCUUUUGGUGAGCCACAAGAUCGAUGACUAAAUGGUUCUAUCCGACCCGUCUUGAAACACG
RNAcentral lists this ribosomal RNA (669 nucleotides) under Gymnodinium sp. 2 AR-2013. Its description in RNAcentral is "eukaryotic LSU rRNA". It matches the Rfam family "Eukaryotic large subunit ribosomal RNA", at positions 37 to 663 of the family's 3401-position model. Lineage: Eukaryota; Dinophyceae; Gymnodiniales; Gymnodiniaceae. The record is from RNAcentral.